Bos taurus (domestic cattle) is the source of this 450-nucleotide long non-coding RNA. Lineage: Eukaryota; Metazoa; Chordata; Mammalia; Artiodactyla; Bovidae. The record is from Ensembl.
CAUGAGCAAGGAAUCAUUUUCUGUUGAGUUUGAGCCAAAAUGCAUAUUGACGUCUGCCUGUUACAGUAGCCAGCCCAUCCAAAUUAAUUGACUGCUUCUUGAUCUUACGAUGUAUUUAACCUUUAGCAUGGCUGACAAACUCCCGUGGAUGUAGCUCUUUCAGUCUCGUCGCAGUAGGUGAAGCCUCAGGCUCUGGAGCUGGUCUACAUGGUUCAUGUUUGAGCUCGCAAACCAGCUUUGUGACUUUGGAUAAAGUACUUGAGUUCUCUGUGUCUGUUUCUCUUCCUCCAGAAGAAGAGAAUUUUGUUAAGAACUCCGAACAGUCUGGGAAUUUACCCUACUCACCAGCCAGCUUGCCUCUCUUCCAUGGAUGCUGGCAGAAGACACAAGACUCUCAGAUUUAUUAAGGAAAGGAAAAUAGAGUCACAAGACAGAAAAAGAAGAGAGAGA